This 497-nucleotide ribosomal RNA is filed under the name uncultured bacterium. RNAcentral's name for it is "partial 16S ribosomal RNA". It matches the Rfam family "Bacterial small subunit ribosomal RNA", at positions 28 to 507 of the family's 1533-position model. The record is from RNAcentral.
GAUGAACGCUGGCGGCGUGCCUAAUACAUGCAAGUCGAGCGAACGGACGCGAAGCUUGCUUCUCUGAUGUUAGCGGCGGACGGGUGAGUAACACGUGGAUAACCUACCUAUAAUACUGGGAUAACUUCGGGAAACCGGAGCUUAUACCGUAUAAUAUUUUGAACCGCAUGGUUCAAAAGUGAAAGACGGUCUUGCUGUCACUUAUAGAUGGAUCUGCGCUGCAUUAGCUAGUUGGUAAGGUAACGGCUUACGAAGGCAACGAUGCAUAGCCGACCUGAGAGGGUGAUCGGCCACACUGGAGCUGAGACGCGGUCCAGACUCCUGCGGGAGGCAGCAGUAGGGAAUCUUCCGCAGUGGGCGAAAACCUGACGGAGCGACGGCACGUGAGUGGUGAAGAUCUUCGGAUCGUAAAACUCUGCUAUUAGGGAUAAACAUAUGUGUAAGUAACUGUGCACAUCUUGACGGUACCUGAUAAAAAAGCCACGGCUAACUACGUG